RNAcentral lists this non-coding RNA (45 nucleotides) under Schistosoma margrebowiei. Lineage: Eukaryota; Metazoa; Platyhelminthes; Trematoda; Strigeidida; Schistosomatidae. The record is from RNAcentral.
GUCCAGAUGACAAGUCCCUAAUAGGACGAAACAUGCGUCCUGGAU